Molecule: long non-coding RNA, 768 nt
Organism: Anopheles funestus (African malaria mosquito)
Lineage: Eukaryota; Metazoa; Arthropoda; Insecta; Diptera; Culicidae
Exons: 2
Source: RefSeq, a predicted model, not a curated record
AACAGAUCGAUUAAUAUUUGUAAGUCUCAUAUGAUUUGAAAUCUUUUGGUUCGAUAUGAAUUAUUGUUGAUAUAUUCUAAUUUGUUGUACUACAAACAUUCACGAAAUAAUUCGAGUUUUUAUAAACCUUUCAUUUUGCUAGCUCUUGAACAGCUAUGCAUCACGCUUGAAACAAAUCUUUAUCAAUGAUCAUAAUUUCUUAUCAAAGACAAUAACAGCUAUAAAAGAGCGUUCAUUCAAGUGUUAUAAUACUUGUUUGAUGUUCAGAGAUCAAAUAUGAAAGCUUUCAUAGUAGUACUUGUUUGCUUUGCAGCAAUGGCAAAUGCUCAAGUGGCUUUUCGACCACGUAUCUCGCCACAACUCUGUCAUCCUGAUGAUAUACAGUGCCACCUUAACCCAUCUGCAUGGCCGACCAACAAAGAACAAGUUGGGGACUAUACUGUCGAUUAUAGUAAGUCACUGCGAAGCAGGGAAAUACUCAUACAAGCCAUUGAAAAACUAGUGUCUUGGAUCGUGAAUCAAGUUGUUGAAUAUUUCCUCAAAGACGAAUCGCUGCUCCGGAUGCAGUUGAGAAAUAAACCGCCUCGCCGUAUUUGCGAUCCCAAAGACACAGAGUGCAAUAAAUUGUACUCCAAAUUUCUUCCCUUGUUCCCACCUAUCCCCAUUUCUAUCCUUGGAUACUGAGUAAGCAAUGCAUUAUUACGUUAGUCUAUUUCAAUCGAUUUCCAAAAAAAAAAUAUAGCUUCAAAUAAAAGUCCUAUGUUUCAA